AACGAACGCUGGCGGCAGGCUUAACACAUGCAAGUCGAGCGCCUCGCAAGGGGAGCGGCAGACGGGUGAGUAACGCGUGGGAAACUACCCUUUGGUACGGAAUAACACAGAGAAAUUUGUGCUAAUACCGUAUGUGCCCUUCGGGGGAAAGACUUAUCGCCAUAGGAUGUGCCCGCGUAGGAUUAGCUAGUUGGUGUGGUAAUGGCGCACCAAGGCGACGAUCCUUAGCUGGUCUGAGAGGAUGAUCAGCCACACUGGGACUGAGACACGGCCCAGACUCCUACGGGAGGCAGCAGUGGGGAAUAUUGGACAAUGGGCGCAAGCCUGAUCCAGCCAUGCCGCGUGAGUGAUGAAGGCCUUAGGGUUGUAAAGCUCUUUCACCCACGACGAUAAUGACGGUAGUGGGAGAAGAAGCCCCGGCUAACUUCGUGCCAGCAGCCGCAGUAA
This 447-nucleotide ribosomal RNA is filed under the name uncultured bacterium. Its description in RNAcentral is "partial 16S ribosomal RNA". It matches the Rfam family "Bacterial small subunit ribosomal RNA", at positions 29 to 523 of the family's 1533-position model. The record is from RNAcentral.